GAUGAACGCUAGCGGCAGGCUUAAUACAUGCAAGUCGAGGGGCAGCGCAGUGUAGCAAUACAUGGGCGGCGACCGGCAAACGGGUGCGGAACACGUACAGAACCUUCCUUUAAGUGGGGAAUAGCCCAGAGAAAUUUGGAUUAAUACCCCGUAACAUUAUGGAGUGGCAUCACUUUAUAAUUAUAGAUUUAUCGCUUAAA
Molecule: ribosomal RNA, 200 nt
Filed under: uncultured bacterium
Lineage: Bacteria
Description: partial 16S ribosomal RNA
Rfam family: Bacterial small subunit ribosomal RNA
Source: RNAcentral